CCUACGGGUGGCUGCAGUGGGGAAUAUUGCACAAUGGGCGCAAGCCUGAUGCAGCCAUGCCGCGUGUGUGAAGAAGGCCUUCGGGUUGUAAAGCACUUCCAGCGGGGAGGAAGGCGGUGAGGUUAAUAACCUCAUCGAUUGACGUUACCCGCAGAAGAAGCACCGGCUAACUCCGUGCCAGCAGCCGCGGUAAUACGGAGGGUGCAAGCGUUAAUCGGAAUUACUGGGCGUAAAGCGCACGCAGGCGGUCUGUCAAGUCGGAUGUGAAAUCCCCGGGCUCAACCUGGGAACUGCAUUCGAAACUGGCAGGCUAGAGUCUUGUAGAGGGGGGUAGAAUUCCAGGUGUAGCGGUGAAAUGCGUAGAGAUCUGGAGGAAUACCGGUGGCGAAGGCGGCCCCCUGGACAAAGACUGACGCUCAGGUGCGAAAGCGUGGGGAGCAAACAGGAUUAGAUACCCGGGUAGUC
RNAcentral lists this ribosomal RNA (465 nucleotides) under uncultured Klebsiella sp. Its description in RNAcentral is "bacterial SSU rRNA". It matches the Rfam family "Bacterial small subunit ribosomal RNA", at positions 338 to 795 of the family's 1533-position model. Lineage: Bacteria; Pseudomonadati; Pseudomonadota; Gammaproteobacteria; Enterobacterales; Enterobacteriaceae. The record is from RNAcentral.